CAGCAGCCGCGGGAAUACGGAGGAUCCAAGCGUUAUCCGGAAUCAUUGGGUUUAAAGGGUCCGUAGGCGGUCUUGUAAGUCAGUGGUGAAAGCCCAUCGCUCAACGGUGGAACGGCCAUUGAUACUGCAGGACUUGAAUUAUUGGGAAGUAACUAGAAUAUGUAGUGUAGCGGUGAAAUGCUUAGAGAUUACAUGGAAUACCAAUUGCGAAGGCAGGUUACUACCAAUUGAUUGACGCUGAUGGACGAAAGCGUGUGUAGCGAACAGGAUUAGAUACCCGAGUAGUCCCUGUCUCUUAUAU
Molecule: ribosomal RNA, 301 nt
Filed under: uncultured bacterium
Lineage: Bacteria
Description: partial 16S ribosomal RNA
Rfam family: Bacterial small subunit ribosomal RNA
Source: RNAcentral